AGAAAAUCUUAUCUACAUUUUGAAGUUGAAGCUGAGGGGUUGAAGAUUAUGUCUGAAUGGACACAUGAAGGAGACUGAGGCAAAAGAAUGAGGGGAAAAUGGAGAGCAUGGCCUUAGAGAGAGAGAAGGCAAGAAAGAGAGCAAAAGAGACGUAGGAGAGUACCGGUACUGGCAAGAAAAACGGGAGGGGGAAGAGAGGACCAGUAAGGGGAUAGACUUGGGAAGGAGGGACAGCUGCAUAGGAAUUGACAAAAAUCGCGGGAAAAAGGGGGGAAAAAAACUCCAGAACGAGAAGAAACUGGACUUCUCUCCAAACUCAGACUCGCACUAUGUGGCCGCCUUUGAUUUUGUUUUCAGACAUGAUUUUUCAUCAGUUCUGAUCAUUCAUCUACUGAACCUGAAACAGCCAGAUCAUCAGGACGGGAUUUUAAAAGGAUUUGAUCCAGUUCUGUCGGACGAGACGAUCGGACUGCAUCGGAAUCGGUAACCAACAAUGGUAACGUCUCAUGUGACGCAUCAAUUGUCAUUUUAAAGUAUUUUUUUCUUUCCCC
Molecule: long non-coding RNA, 551 nt
Organism: Astatotilapia calliptera (eastern happy)
Lineage: Eukaryota; Metazoa; Chordata; Actinopteri; Cichliformes; Cichlidae
Source: Ensembl